RNAcentral lists this ribosomal RNA (505 nucleotides) under uncultured bacterium. RNAcentral describes it as "partial 16S ribosomal RNA". It matches the Rfam family "Bacterial small subunit ribosomal RNA", at positions 28 to 507 of the family's 1533-position model. The record is from RNAcentral.
GACGAACGCUGGCGGCGUGCCUAAUACAUGCAAGUAGAACGCACAGUUUAUACCGUAGCUUGCUCCACCAUAGACUGUGAGUUGCGAACGGGUGAGUAACGCGUAGGUAACCUGCCUGGUAGCGGGGGAUAACUAUUGGAAACGAUAGCUAAUACCGCAUAAUAUUGAUUAUUGCAUGAUAAUUGAUUGAAAGAUGCUAUUGCAUCACUACCAGAUGGACCUGCGUUGUAUUAGCUAGUAGGUGAGGUAACGGCUCACCUAGGCGACGAUACAUAGCCGACCUGAGAGGGUGAUCGGCCACACUGGGACUGAGACACGGCCCAGACUCCUACGGGAGGCAGCAGUAGGGAAUCUUCGGCAAUGGACGAAAGUCUGACCGAGCAACGCCGCGUGAGUGAAGAAGGGUUUCGGAUCGUAAAGCUCUGUUGUAAGAGAAGAACGGGUGUGAGAGUGGAAAGUUCACACUGUGACGGUAUCUUACCAGAAAGGGACGGCUAACUACGUG